GUCUGUAUAGAUUAUUUAAAUUGUAAGGCUGUUAACCUUGAGAUGAUUCUAUCUACAGGCG
This 61-nucleotide transfer RNA is filed under the name Clinostomum complanatum. RNAcentral describes it as "tRNA-Asn". The record is from RNAcentral. Lineage: Eukaryota; Metazoa; Platyhelminthes; Trematoda; Strigeidida; Clinostomidae.